This 1085-nucleotide long non-coding RNA is filed under the name Fukomys damarensis (Damara mole-rat). RNAcentral's name for it is "lncRNA (ENSFDAG00000024354.1)". Lineage: Eukaryota; Metazoa; Chordata; Mammalia; Rodentia; Bathyergidae. The record is from RNAcentral.
AGAGGCACUCUUGUGGGCCUAGAAUGUGGCUCCAACACAGGCACCUAUGCUUCAGAGACCAGGAAGGAAGAGAGCUACGAUGCAGCCAAGGAAACAGUAACACGAGGAGCAGAUCGUUUAGCAGGAACAAAAUGCGUCUGCAACCCCUGGCUCAUAUUUAGCUCAGCUGCCAUCCAUCACUCACAGACGAAAGCUCGAAAAGCAUCAAGUCCACACCGAAAGGAGGAAAAUGUGAGUGGCAUCCCCGGUGGCAAGGGUUGGACGUGGGAGGCAGAGAGGAGCUAUAUAUUAUACCUGAACUCGCUGCCAGUUUCAGAAACGGCUUGGAAGGAAGAUGAGAAGAAGGCAAAGGACCAGAGCUACUGACAUGCGCACAGCCAUCAAGGAAAUGCUAAGGUGACUGGCAAGAAGAGAAGGCCCCGCACUCACGGAGCAGCAACCAGCAGUGUGGGACAAGAUCUGAUUAAGGGGGAACAGUGUCCCAGGCCUCCGAUGCUCUGCCCUCCAGAAGAGGUGAGGCCAGGAAGGCAGGAGUCAUCUAGAAGCCUCCAAACAGGGGCUUAUGCUGAGCAUGUAGGACCGGUAGUGCUUUGUUUGACUUUUCAUUGUAGAUGACAAGAAUAAUCUAGGGCAAAAAUAUAAUCUACCAUGGGGGGGUGGGAAAAUCGCUAUUUUUUAGAGGUUUGGGGAGUCAAUUUCUUUCACUGAUAAACCCUCAGGUAAGGUAUGGUAGCUCUAUGGGCAUAUGAACAGAUGAACCCUAUUGGAUGAAUAUUUACAGUGAAAGCAACAGAAAGGGCGAGAAUAAUGAGCUACAGUCACUCAUUGUGGAGGGAGUGAGCAUAGCAAUACCGCAUAAGGAUAUGCUAAGAAUGAGUCUCGGUAGAAACAAGAAGUUUACAAGAAUGGAUGUAUUUUUGUUGGUCACAUGAAAAGCACAGGAUGGAAAUUCAGGCAUGUGGAGAUUAUAUAUCUAUUUCUGAGAAAGGGAAUUUCAGGAUGUCUCGUGCAUAAGAGGGGCCCGGGGAUGUGGUAACAGCAGAACGGAACACACGCUGUGCUAUUCACAAACUUGUGCAUCUGCA